Vulpes vulpes (red fox) is the source of this 108-nucleotide small nuclear RNA. NCBI's taxonomy places the organism in Eukaryota, Metazoa, Chordata, Mammalia, Carnivora, Canidae. The record is from Ensembl.
GUGCCUGCUUCAUGCAACACAUAAACUAAAACUGGAACAAUACAGAGAAUAUUAGUAUGGUGCCUGAACAAAGAUGACAUGUAAAUUCAUGAAGCAUUCCAUAUUAUC